Molecule: ribosomal RNA, 355 nt
Filed under: uncultured bacterium
Lineage: Bacteria
Description: bacterial SSU rRNA
Rfam family: Bacterial small subunit ribosomal RNA
Source: RNAcentral
AGAGUUUGAUCCUGGCUCAGGAUGAACGCUAGCUACAGGCUUAACACAUGCAAGUCGAGGGGAAACGACAUCGAAAGCUUGCUUUUGAUGGGCGUCGACCGGCGCACGGGUGAGUAACGCGUAUCCAACCUGCCCACCACUUGGGGAUAACCUUGCGAAAGUAAGACUAAUACCCAAUGACGUCUCUAGAAGACAUCUGAAGGAGAUUAAAGAUUUAUCGGUGAUGGAUGGGGAUGCGUCUGAUUAGCUUGUUGGCGGGGUAACGGCCACGAAGGCGACGAUCGAGUAGGGGUUCUGAGAGGAACGGUCCCCCANAUUGGAACUGAGACACGGUCCAAACUCCGUACGGGAGGCA